UGUGACAAGAGGUGCACUCAUAAAUCACAGA
This 31-nucleotide non-coding RNA is filed under the name Rattus norvegicus (Norway rat). Lineage: Eukaryota; Metazoa; Chordata; Mammalia; Rodentia; Muridae. The record is from RNAcentral.